Scylla paramamosain (green mud crab) is the source of this 3473-nucleotide long non-coding RNA. RefSeq lists it as uncharacterized. NCBI's taxonomy places the organism in Eukaryota, Metazoa, Arthropoda, Malacostraca, Decapoda, Portunidae. The transcript has 3 exons. The record is from RefSeq and is a predicted model, not a curated record.
GGCUGAGCGUGGAGUGCCACUCUUCCACUGGCUGCCCCGCGCCCCUCGGCCGCCGCUCCGUCCGGGCAGUGCUAACAGUAGUGUAAAUAUUCACAUCAAGGCCGGGCCGGUUGGAGGACGCCGCCUGGGCCUCGCUCCCAUAAAUUACACCUCUGGGCUGACGUCACACGAGGCUUGUAUUGUCCGCUCGUGCCGCGUGGCUUGUGCCCUUUAGGCCUUCCCUCAAUGGGUUUCGCGUCCCACGGCCGAGGAGGAGGAAUGAAAUAGAGGUAUGGGCGCCUGCCCGGACCCUUCAUGGCCGCUGAGUUAGGACACAUUCAGGCGCACGCGGGUACGGUGGGAUAAGCCCUUUCAGUCAGUCGUUGCUUCUAACAGGUAGAUGCCCUGAAGGCUCCUUGCGUCUCACACCACCUACAGGUAGAAAGGAACGGAGAUUUCGUCCCGCCAGGGUCCUUGUCUGUCCCGGCUGAUCCUCCGUCAGGAAGGGAGACGGCCUGGAAUGAUGCACCGUGUCCGGCGGAGCCUCGGCGGCCGUGCUGGGCUAGCGGAGGGAUCUGCGAUUUGUAUUAAAAUAUUCCGCGGGCCAAUGGUAGCGGAGAGCGGGCGGUCGACCCAAUCACAACUGAGCAGGCCUGUGGGUACCGGGGCCCAGGUCCAGCAGCCUGGUGUGAGUUGCCGGGCUUUUCCAGACCUGCAACGAUGUCUGCCUCUAAUGUGUCUGAAAGGAGGAGCUGUGGUGGAUGAUGUGGUGCCUUGACUGACGAGUGAUCGGCAUCGGUUCUGGAGGAGCGUGGGGGAUUGUGCUGCGAGGGUCUGGAGAGCACCACAAUGUAUUUUGGUCAAACGAUGCCCAUUGAUGUACAGGUGCGAUUCCCACCCCAGCCAGACGUAAGAGCAGGCAGACCUCCACAUCCACGGCCAGACUUCGAUCAUGAAACUCGUUUGAAUGUUUUGGCCUCGGGCAGUGCUCAGGCACCACUUUGACAUCCUGCAAACUCGUCACCUGUCUCUCCUUUUCUUGGCAACACAGGGUGAUGAUGCAAUGAGGAGGAGAUCCUUGGGCAUGGGUCUGGAGCAGUGAGCGAAACAGUACGAUACUUUGGGCGGGAGGCAUCUGGUGGGCACUGGUUGAUGAAGUCCACUAUGUUUAGUAGCCAGUGGGCCAAACCAGCAUAGCAUUUACGGAACCUCAGGUGACCGCUGUGGAGGAGGAAGCUGCCCGCCAACGCCACCACCACUGGUUCUUCCAAAGUUCCUAAGAUAAUAUUCCCUGCGCAGCUCCUCCUCCUCCCUUCCUCUAUGCUGGUGUUGGCCCGUGGCACUGGCGCAUUCAAGCUGUGAUAAUUACCACUUAGUUAAUGGUUCACGUGGAGGUUUAUCAUGCAUGUCACAAGGCGGUGAUCUGUACCAUUAUGAGCCUUGCCAGGACACUGUCGCCCUGGAGUGUACACGCCUCUUCACCCUGGACGGGAGCCGCCAGCCCCUAGUUAGCACCAUGACCGCGACCAGCGUCAUUAUGGAGCUAUCCAGUCCGGCCAAGCGCAAAAAAUCCGGCAGCGAGGACCUGACGGGGCAAGCUGCUGUCAAUGCACGGUAAGAGAUGUUUGCGUUGAGUAUGGAGGAGGCGAGGCGAGGGCGUGAGAAAGGUAAGCUUUUGGAAGGCAGCCAUGUGAGAGAAAUACUCGUAUAUAGGAAAUUAUCACCACGCUUCUGUAGAAACAUUCCCUUCACUGAUAUUUUGUAUUCUGUGAGGUUUUGAAUUUGCUGAGUUAUGUCUGACUUGAGUACGGAAGAGUAUGGAAGACAACAGUGUAAGAAAAUAUAUAGAAAAUUAUUAUCACGCUUCUGUAGGAACAUCUGUUUCACUCUUUUUUUUUUUAUAUAUAUUAUGUGGGGUUUCCAAUAUGCUAUUUUUUUUAUUAUUAUUUUCACUAAGCUUCCAGUAUUAGCAAGUGACAUCUCAAGGUGACUCGUUAAGAAACUCAGAAACUCUCAGGACAUCAUUUUAACCACCACCACCUCUGUUCAAAGCCGGAAACUGAUAAGGAAGAGUCACUUAAAGGAUUACAAAACGUGAUUGAAGAUUUUAACAAGUUUAGCCCCAGAAAAAAAUAAAUAAAUAUUAAAAGAAAAUUAUUUACUAUCUAACCUAUUCAUUUUAUUUUUUUUUUUCCUUCUUUUUCCUGCACCCAAACAACAUUUCAACUUGGCACACGAAGGGGGAGGGAAGCCACGUCCCCUUGACCAUUAUUUCCAUCGCUAGUGAGACACGCGAAAGAAUAUACACCGCCUCACUCGCAUCACUUAACCUCGACAACUUCGUGGCCAACAGGCAAUUAGGCUGUACUCCAGGUAACUUGACCCCGGAAGCCGCGUCUCUUUAACUCUUGUGACGUGAAACCUUGUCGGGCCGUCGAUGAUAUAGGCGAUAAUUCAUUAAGAUUCCCCUGCAGAGUAAGUGAGCGCACCUUGUCUUUUCCCUACGCCCGCUGUUUAAUUAGCAUCAGGUGAGGCUCCCACUUGACGCGGCCAGGUAUUUCAGCACCGGCCACCUGGAAUGUUAUAUAAAAAAGAAGGUGGUAUAUUUUGUCCUUCGUGAAGUUUUUGGUGGUGGUGGUGGUGGUAUAGUAGCUAGUGGUUGGCUCCGUCUCAAAUCUUGUCAUCCAUUUUACUUGUCGUUUUAAACAAAUCGUCUUAAAAUGUUUAUAGAAUAUAGACUUAUGUUGUUAAAGAGAUAACUUUGCAUACUGCUACCCUCCACUAUUUUGCUUAUACUUUUAAAACAAACUUUUCCUCAUGGGUGUAAAAAUAAAGGAAACUAACCUGCUGUGACUAACUUUUCAUCUACUUGAUAAAAAAAAAAUCCUGUAAGUUUUUUUUUUAUUCACAGUGGUAAUACGUCACCCGAUCACAAAACUAAAUCGUCCUUAAAAAAAAAAAAAUCAUAAGAGCAAAGACUGACUGACUGACUCAUUCACUGCCUUAACUUUACAUAUAUCAUAUUAAAUAUCCUGUGAGUUUUUUUUCAAUUCACAGUAAAAAAUACAUCAACCGAUCACAAAACUAAAUCAUCCUUUAAAGAAAAAAAUCAUAAGAGCAAAGACUGACUGACUGGCUGAUUCACUGCCUUAAUUUUCCGUCUACCUUAUACAUUCCUGCCGUGCUUCCCAAUUACCACCAAGGAAUUAGAGUAUCACCCUAUCGACACCACACCGCCUGGGAACACAAGGGAGGGGGGGGGAACGGGUGCAUCGGGGUCUCUGUUGCUGGCGGUGGGUGAUACGGUGGCAGGAGACAAUCUUGAUGCGCCUAAUGACCCGACUGUCCACUCAGCGAAUCCACCACAGGCGCGAGCGGGCCUGGAUGGUUGCGUGUGAUUUGGAUCUUGGAUAAAAUUGCUGUACGGUCGUUUUUCUUACUUACACGAAUGAGUUACGGCCAUUUGGCGCCUAGCAGGGGAGUAACUAUGGUAU